AUGUAUCAACCCUUCACUUGUUGAGCGGUUUGGAUGUGGGGGUUUGCCUGGCCUCUUAAAAGGUUUUGGCUCCCCUAAAAUGCAUUAGCAGAACAACCCUGUUCAUUGGUGUGAUAAACUAUCUACGCUAUUGAAUGUGAAGGGCAGUUUGGCUUUCUAACAGUCCUCGGACAAACUCAUCAUUA
Molecule: unclassified non-coding RNA, 185 nt
Filed under: Cortinarius gurdus
Lineage: Eukaryota; Fungi; Basidiomycota; Agaricomycetes; Agaricales; Cortinariaceae
Description: partial internal transcribed spacer 2
Source: RNAcentral